UACGAAGGGGGCUAGCGUUGUUCGGAAUUACUGGGCGUAAAGCGUGCGCAGGCGGCUUCUCAAGUCAGGGGUGAAAGCCCAGAGCUCAACUCUGGAAUUGCCUUUGAGACUGAGAGGCUUGAGUACGGGAGAGGUGAGUGGAAUUCCCAGUGAUAGAGGUGAAAUUCGUAGAUAUUGGGAAGAACACCAGUGGCGAAGGCGGCUCACUGGACCGGUAACUGACGCUCAUGCACGACAGCGUGGGGAUCAAACAGG
This 255-nucleotide ribosomal RNA is filed under the name uncultured bacterium. RNAcentral's name for it is "partial 16S ribosomal RNA". It matches the Rfam family "Bacterial small subunit ribosomal RNA", at positions 524 to 776 of the family's 1533-position model. The record is from RNAcentral.